CUUAGACCAGAGAGGGGUAGUCACCAAACAACACACCAGUUUCAUCGAUGGGAUCCACAAGCAUCAGCGUCUCCCCAGCAGUAAGCCUGACAUACACCCGAACGCUGUAAUGCUCAGCGUAACAUAAGAUUUCAUUAAAUAGAGACUUGAAAGUGUCCUGGGAAGACCUACCGUCAAAAACAUCCACCAUGUUGAAAAAGGCCAGAGACAGCGAAGACUUUCCACUGCCUGUUCUACCACAGAUGCCCACCUGGGACAGAAAGAAUAAGACGUAAGCACUUGACACAGCCUGACAUUUUCAGAUUGCUUUUGUAUAAACAUGUUCAGGGCUGCUGUUCUCCUAAAUUACACAAACUAGUGCGGACAGUUAAAGUUCCCAUGUCACAAUAAGAAGCUGUCAUGCUUGUAUAUUGAGAGCCAGGGGGCCUCCUAAAAACAAGACUAAUAAAGUGGAUGAUGGGC
Carassius gibelio (silver crucian carp) is the source of this 462-nucleotide long non-coding RNA. RefSeq lists it as uncharacterized. The transcript has 2 exons. The record is from RefSeq and is a predicted model, not a curated record. NCBI's taxonomy places the organism in Eukaryota, Metazoa, Chordata, Actinopteri, Cypriniformes, Cyprinidae.